This 253-nucleotide ribosomal RNA is filed under the name uncultured bacterium. RNAcentral describes it as "partial 16S ribosomal RNA". It matches the Rfam family "Bacterial small subunit ribosomal RNA", at positions 524 to 776 of the family's 1533-position model. The record is from RNAcentral.
UACGAAGGGGGCUAGCGUUGCUCGGAAUUACUGGGCGUAAAGCGCACGUAGGCGGACUUUUAAGUCGGGGGUGAAAUCCUGGGGCUCAACCCCAGAACUGCCUUCGAAACUGAAAGUCUUGAGUUCGGGAGAGGUGAGUGGAACUCCGAGUGUAGAGGUGAAAUUCGUAGAUAUUCGCAAGAACACCAGUGGCGAAGGCGGCUCACUGGCCCGCUACUGACGCUGAGGUGCGAAAGCGUGGGGAGCAAACAGG